GCCUGGGUGGCUGAGUCAGUUAAGUGUCUGAUUUCGGCUCAGGUCAUGAUCUCAUGGUUUGUGGGUUCGAGCCCUGCGUCAGGCU
Molecule: transfer RNA, 85 nt
Filed under: Felis catus (domestic cat)
Lineage: Eukaryota; Metazoa; Chordata; Mammalia; Carnivora; Felidae
Rfam family: tRNA
About the family: Transfer RNA (tRNA) molecules are approximately 80 nucleotides in length. Their secondary structure includes four short double-helical elements and three loops (D, anti-codon, and T loops). Further hydrogen bonds mediate the characteristic L-shaped molecular structure. tRNAs have two regions of fundamental functional importance: the anti-codon, which is responsible for specific mRNA codon recognition, and the 3' end, to which the tRNAs corresponding amino acid is attached (by aminoacyl-tRNA synthetases). tRNAs cope with the degeneracy of the genetic code in two manners: having more than one tRNA (with a specific anti-codon) for a particular amino acid; and 'wobble' base-pairing, i.e. permitting non-standard base-pairing at the 3rd anti-codon position.
Source: Rfam by way of RNAcentral